This is a long non-coding RNA of Brassica napus (rape), 985 nucleotides long. RefSeq lists it as uncharacterized. The record is from RefSeq and is a predicted model, not a curated record. The transcript is spliced from 4 exons. Lineage: Eukaryota; Viridiplantae; Streptophyta; Magnoliopsida; Brassicales; Brassicaceae.
AGGUUUCUUAUCUCUUUGAUAAAAAAAAAAAAACUUUCUUAUCUCUAGUCGUCUCUGUCCCUCUCGAGUCUCAUCUCUGCGUUUCCCCCUUUACUCCAUCUCGAGCUCCACCACUCUGUGGUCUCCACUCACCCACAAUCGAACAAGGUGGCGCCUCUUGUCCACUCUCGAGCCUCACCGCCGUGCUCUGCUCAUCAAUCCACCGUGCUCUGCUUCACACCGCAACAGUCUGGCCGUCGUCGCCACGUCGGAGCUCUCAUCCAUCGCAAUCCAUGACUGUGUCCGUGACCAAACGACACCACGAUAGCACCUGCUCCAAAUCAAGCUUCUCUGGCGCGUUCUUGCUUCAACGGAAUCAUGCCUCACCGUCGGAAUCAAAGUGGAGAAGAGAAACAAUGGCGUUUCGACAAAAGGUGCUGCUACCAAGUAGUGGGCAUUGGAAGAUGGUACUAACUCUGUCGCUAUGGCUAAGAGAAGAAUGAGAGCCAACUUUGAGUUUUUGAAGAAACUUGGAGUUGAUUGGUGGUGUUUCUACACGUGAGGUGCAGGUGGAGUUCUUCUUGUUUACGACAUCAGCAGACAGCAGACUUUUCAGAGCAUUGGUAGAUGGCUGAACGAGCUGCACAGUGGUGUUGCGGAAACGCCUUGCCCAUAUCAAAAGAGAAGUUGAUAAAAAGAUGGUGGAGAAGAGAAGUUGGUUUCUUGUGUUCUUCUGUGUCAAGCUUUGAUCUGAGUUAAGUGAGAUUCGGUUUGGAUUAGAUGGUGAAGGAAACAGAGUAAUAUGAUGUGCUCGGCGUUAGCCCAAGUGCUACUGAGUCUGAGAUCAAGACUCAGUUUGUUUAUGACUAGAUUUGAUGGUUAUAUGUUCUUUUAUGGAGUUCGUGUGUUUCAUGUAUUGAUUUUGUAUGUUUUGAUUCUUUGAUGGAAAAACAUGUGGUAUUAUAUGAUUUAUUUGUGUUUUAUUAGAGUAAAUUAUAUUUAUUAA